GAUCUGCUCUGGGUAAGUCGGGGCCUAAGGAGAGGCAGAGAUGCGUAUCCGAUGGACAGCAGGUUUAAGAUUCCUGCACCCCUUGUUAUGAGAACUGCGGGGACACGGGAAGGGAAGCAGAGCCGGGAAUGGAAAGCCCGGUGCAAGCGAAGUAGUCGCAGGGUUGGAAAAUCCGCCCUGCAUAAACGAAGGCGUGAUGCGGAGCGAAAUGAAGUAGUGAAGCUGCGGCCCCGUCCUGUCGAGAAAAGCCGCUAUCGUGUAGCAAGGGCCCGUACCGUAAACCGACACAGGUGGAUGAGGAGAGGAUCCUAAGGCCGGCGGGAGAAGUGUUGUUAAGGAACUCGGCAAAAUGACUCCGUAACUUCGGGAGAAGGAGUGCUGCGCAAGCAGCCGCAGAGAAAUGGCCCAAGCAACUGUUUAGCAAAAACACAGGUCUAUGCGAAACCGGAAGGUGAGGUAUAUGGGCUGACGCCUGCCCGGUGCUGGAAGGUUAAGGGGAGAGCUUAGCAUAAGCGAAGGUUUGAACUUAAGCCCCAGUAAACGGCGGCCGUAACGAUAACGGUCCUAAGGUAGCGAAAUUCCUUGUCGGGUAAGUUCCGACCCGCACGAAAGGCGUAAUGAUUUGGGCACUGUCUCAACAACACACCCGGUGAAAUUGAAAUACCAGUGAAGAUGCUGGUUACCCGCGCCAGGACGGAAAGACCCCAUGGAGCUUUACUCCAGCCUGAUACUGGGAUUCGGUAUUGCAUGUACAGGAUAGGUGGGAGGCUAAGAACUUAUGGCGCCAGCCGUAAGGGAGCCGAUGUUGGGAUACCACCCCUGCAGUACUGGGUUUCUAACCUGCGCCCGUGACCCGGGCGGGGGACAAUGUCAGGCGGGGAGUUUGACUGGGGCGGUCGCCUCCGAAAGGGUAUCGGAGGCGCUCAAAGGUCUCCUCAGGAUGGUUGGAAACCAUCCAGAGAGUGCAAAGGCAGAAGGAGGCUUGACUGCGACACCGACGGGUGGAGCAGGUACGAAAGUAGGACUUAGUGAUCCGGUGGCAUAAAGUGGGAUUGCCAUCGCUCAACGGAUAAAAGCUACCCUGGGAUAACAUGCUUAUCACUCCCAAGAGUUCACAUCGACGGAGUGGUUUGGCACCUCGAUGUCGGCUCAUCGCAUCCUGGAGCUGGAGCAGGUUCCAAGGGUUGGGCUGUUCGCCCAUUAAAGCGGUACGCGAGCUGGGUUCAGAACGUCGUGAGACAGUUCGGUCCCUAUCCGGCGCGGGCGCAGGAUAUCUGAGAGGAGCUGUCCUUAGUACGAGAGGACCGGGAUGGACCGUCCGCUGGUGGACCGGUUGUCAUGCCAAUGGCACGGCCGGGUAGCCAAGACGGGAAGGGAUAAACGCUGAAGGCAUCUAAGCGUGAAGCCCCCCUCAAGAUGAGAUAUCCAUACUCGAAAGAGUGAGAGACCCCUUAGAGACGAUGAGGUAGAUAGGGCAGAGAUGGAAGCACAGCGAUGUGUGGAGUUGACUGUUACUAAUCGGUCGAAAGCCC
Molecule: ribosomal RNA, 1532 nt
Filed under: metagenome
Description: bacterial LSU rRNA
Rfam family: Bacterial large subunit ribosomal RNA
Source: RNAcentral